This is a long non-coding RNA of Onychomys torridus (southern grasshopper mouse), 500 nucleotides long. RefSeq lists it as uncharacterized. The transcript is spliced from 4 exons. The record is from RefSeq and is a predicted model, not a curated record. Lineage: Eukaryota; Metazoa; Chordata; Mammalia; Rodentia; Cricetidae.
ACAGCCGUGGUCGCUUCGCGAGGCCGCCGCUUGUCAGCGCUAGGGCGUGCCUGAGGAACUGGAGGCUGGGGAGAACUAGUAGACCACGUUCUGCCUGGAGUGCUGCAAGUCUCAUAUCUACCCAAGAGUCUCCUUGACCACUCCUGGACCAGGAUCACUUGUCCUGCACCCAUGAUGACACCACAAGAAGGAACAACGGCAAUACAGCAAGAGUCUGUUUGCUGUGUACAUGCAGCUUCUAAAGAACUACCCUGAACCCCACUUCCAGUCAGACACUGCCCCUGCCCUGGAGGGAAUUAUGAGGCAACCAGUACCCAGGUCCCACUACAGCCCCUCGCUUGGACAUGAUGAAUGGGUGGUGGUAGCGCAGGCAUUACUGCUACAAAUGGAGGUUCCACCAGGAUCCAAGAAAGAAGGGUCAAGCUGAUGGACACCUGAAAGUAAGGCUGGCCAGCAUUUUAAAGAAAAGAGAAGAGCUGCCAGCUAAAGUCGUGCUGGGA